CAGCUUUAUUUGCCUUGUACAGCAUCAAUUUUCUUACAUUCUCAGUUAAUUGGCCAUUAAAGUGCUGGAAAUUUUCUUAAUCAUGAUAACAUUUGUUAAAAAGAAAUCAGAACUAAUAUCAGGAACAUGGCGGCAUGAAGGAAACAGUUCCCUUACAAAACACAGAAAAUGGAAGCCCCUCAUGUUGAGGGGGUGGGUUGGACAAUUUGCAAACAGAUUCUAAUUUCCUCUCACCGUCAGCACCAAACUGGCUGGGACCACCACCCCUGGGUGAAAGAAACAACACUAAAGAACCCUAAAAACACCCACACACCCUGACUACCACCACCUCUGGGCCAUCUGUGGGCGUUUGCUGUUUGAACAGAUCCAGUCUCAGGAAAGAGGAAGACCUGACCUCCGUCUGCAACCCAUCACCCCACCCACCCUUACUAACAAAAGCCCCCAAAGUCAUUACAAUGAAAAAGUGGGUUUCCAUUACCCCAAAACUAACAAUGUUCAGUAAAAAUGAGGAUAAUAAACACAAAAGCUUGCUUAGUAAACAGGAGCUCUCAGCAGUCAAUGCAAAAAAAUAUAUAUAUAUGAAAUCUUAAGGCAAAUACUGUUGACUUUGCACAUGGGCUGGACGAACUUGGAACUCUUUACCUAUCUGUAUAGUUCCAGGAGCCUACAGGCGGUCGGUUUUUCAGCGCUUGCCACCGGGCCAGGCAAGGUCUUUGCAUGAUUGCUGAGGCAGUCGGUGUGUUUCCCUUUGGAGUUUAUAUAGGAACACACCACCCAAGGCUGAUGUUUUGUUAUAUAUAUAUAUAUGUACACACAUACAAAGGCCUGCUACUCUUUCUUUGUGGAAACUGACAGCUCCACCUCGGGAAGCUGGAUGCCAACCUUAUUCCCACUGUCAUUGCUAGAAGAGGAGGACAGUCGGGACUUCUUAGAGGCCAGGGACACCCCACUCCCCUGUAACUUGCCUGUCUCAUCAUCGCUCCCAGUCACCUCAUAAUGACCUUUGCUCUUUGACCCCAAUCCACCAAAGGUACCGAAUUUCAGCUUCCCGUGUUUCCCUUUAACUUUCCCACCUUCCAGAGACACUUCCCCACCUUCAAACUCCAGCGUCCCCGUCGGGGUGGAAGGUCCAGAGAACUCUCUUUCAUCACUGAAUGAAUUUGAGCGGUGCCGUGGCUUCUUACUUUUAAAUAAGGAGAAUUUGCCUUUCGGUGAAGAGGCUUCGGCCUCUGCCUCUCCUUCCAGAGAGCCCAGGCUGGCCUUUGAACUUUUCAGGUCACCUUUGGACCCAGAAAUUGAUGCUUCUGGUGAGCCAGUGACACCACCUUUCCCUUUAGGUUUGGAAAAAUUAAACUUGGGCAUUUUGAUCUUGGACUUUUUCAGUUUGACUUCAGACUCUUCCCACUCGCCGUCUCCAGCACCAGCUUGGAUGCUGGCCUCUGCUUUAGGGAAGUGAACAUCCACCCCCAUUUCUCUGCCAACCAGCUCACGGCCAGAGAAGGUAAAUUUGGGGAUCUUCAUUUUAGGGAAUGUUACUUUUCCAGAUCCACUUUCCAAGUGACCUUGAGGCCCAGACACACUCAGCCCAGGAGCCUGGAGUCCAAUCUGACCUCCUUUCACACCUCCUUCCACCUUUGGUCCUGAGAAAUGAAGGCCCCCAGCAAACUUAGAUGUGUCCAAGUUGAGAGCAGAGGAGACUUGGGGUCCCUUCCACUCACCCCCGGAACCUUUAACACUCAAAUGCCCUUCACCAAGGCUGAUGUCUGGGGCACUGACACCCCCUGAAACAUCCGCACCUCCUUUGAUUUUUGGGCCCUUCAAGUUGAUGCCAAAAUCUGACUCAGGAGAUGCCAUAUUAAAGGCAGGCCCCUUCACACUGAUAUCAGGAGCAGCCCCAUGGAAACCUACUUCUGAACCUUUCAGACCACCUUUGAUUUCAGGCCCAGAAAUCUGCCCAGUUGGGAGUUUCACAUUCACGCCUGGCAGGUUCACAUCACAUCCAGAGGACUUAAUUCCAGGCAUCUGGAGGUUUCCUUCUAGGCCUUGAACACCAAUGCCUGGAAGACCUCCUCCGACAGUGGGGCCUUUGAUCUCACCAGUGGCCCCAAGGCUCCCUUUCACUUUUGGUCCUUCCAAGUUAAAGUCCACAUUCGGUGCUGAAAUCCGAGGCCCUUUCAGGUUCACAUCCACACCUGGCCCCUUCAGUUCGCCAGAAACCUGUGGCCCCUUGGCAUUGACGUGCAAGUCGGACCCCGGAGUAGAGAUGCCAAAUUGGGGCAGCUUCAUUUUGGGAAGUUUAAUGCUGCCUUCGGAUGCCUCCAAGCUUAGAUCAGGAGCUCCUACGGAUACUUUAGGGCAUUUGAUGUCACCAGAGACAGCCAGAUCUCCCUGCAGGCUUGGUCCCCUCAGUGUCACAUCUGGUGCCCCAACGUUAAGCUUUGUUGUGGCAUCGAUCCCUGGCACUUUCACACCGUCUCCUCCCACCUGCAUUUUGCCACCGACACCACUGAGGUUGAGCCCUGGAGCAUGCACCUUCAUGCUGGGAACAGAUGCAUCCAGGUCUCCCUUCAAACUUGGUCCUUUCAAGUUCAGAUCAAGGUCAGGCCCAGAGACUUUUGGCAUAGAGAGGUUCACUGAAGGCAAGUCUACUCCUGGCCCCUUUAGAGAAACAUCGGGCCCUUCGAGCUUAACAUCUGGUCCUCUCAAGUCUCCUUCAAGAGAGGGUAGCUGGGCAUGGACCUCGGCUCCCCCACCCUCCAUUUUCACACCUGGGAUGCCGAUCUUGGGCAUGGAAAACUUGGGGAACUUAAUUUUUGCUUCUGGACCUUGCAGAUCUACAUCUGGUCCUUCCAGUCCCACGCUGGGGACAUCACCCUUUAUCUUUGGUCCUUUCAAGUUUACAUUCACAUCAGGGAUGGAGACUUGAGGGGCAGAAAUGCCGAAGGACGGUGUUUUGACUUUAGCAUCUAGGCCUUCGAUGUUGAUGUCAGGUGCACCCAAGUUUGCCUGCACUUUGGGGCCUUUCAGGUCACCCUCUAUUUUUGGCACUGAGAUGUCCACAUCUGGCAUCUUGACCUUGGGAGCCUUCGCCUUGAUGUCAAGACCUUCGACGUGAAUCGCUGGCAAAGAAAGUUCCAGAUCAGGUGCCUGGAGUUCACCCUCCAGUUUGGGGCUAGGGAGAGGGGCCUCAGCUUUAAAUUUAGGUGAUUUAAUGUCAAACUCUACAUCUGGGAAGUACAUUUUUCCAAACAUCGUUUUCUUGGUUUUGGGCGAUUUCACGUCGACUUUGAGUGCAGCAUCCGGCCCUGCGAUGUUGACAUCUACAUCCGGAGCCUUGAGGCUGGCAUCAAUUUCACCCCCAGGAACAUUCAGGUCAAAUCCCUGUUUUUUGGCCUUAAUCUUAGGACCACUCAUAUGAAUUUUAGGCAUUUUAAACUUACUUUUCUUGCCCUUGCCACCAACACUAAUUUCAGGAGUCUCAAGGUUCAGCUCUGCCUCAGGAACAGUGACAUCCAGUGAAGGUGACUUGAUGUCAGCUUUGGGGCUUUUUGCCCCAAAUCCAAACUUGGGUUUCUUAAAUUUGGGGAUUUUAACAUCUGGCCCUUCGAUGUUAAUAUCUGGGCUGUCCAUGUGUACAUCUAAGCUUGGAGCUUCAACUUUGGGUCCCUUGAGGUCCACUUCACCACCUUCUAACUUCGGACCUGAAAAUCCAAUUUUUGGUGCCUUGAGAUGCAAAUCAACAUCAGGAGCAGUUACUUUAGGAGCAGAUAUCUCCAGCGAUGGCAUCUUCAAAGAUGGGCCACUGAGUUUGGCAUCAGGGCCUUCGAAAUCCAGACGUGGACCUUUAAGAUCUACUUCUGGGCCUUUCAAAGUCCCUUCAACCUUAGGGACAGACACAUCAAAAUCUCCUUUUACUUUGGGUCCUUUCAAAUCCAGGUCAACAUCAGGUAUGGAGAUCUUGGGAGCUUUGAUAUUUAUUUCAGGCAUCUUGAACUUGGGGCCCUUCAGUUUUGCGUCUGGACCUUCGAUAUUCACAUCUGGAAUAUCAACGUCCACCUUGGGUCCCGAGACAUCGAUGUCGGCCUUGGGCAGGCUCACAUCCACAUCUGGACCUUCUCCUUUGAAGCCAGGCAUGCUGAAUUUGGGCAUUUUCACCUUGGGCAUCUUCAGGUGCCAGUCUGGGCCAUGAACAUCCACAUCAGGGGUGUUGAUGUCCACUUUUGGGCCCUUGAUGUCAGCUUCUGGGCCCUUGAGGUCACCUUCCACUUUAGGAAGGGUAACAUCCACAUCGCCCUUCACUUUGGGUCCUUUCAGGUUUAAGUCAAUAUCAGGCAUGGAGAUCUUGGGGGCUUUGAUGCUCAUCUCAGGCAUCUUGAACUUGGGGCCCUUUAGUUUCGCAUCUGGACCUUCGAUAUUCACAUCAGGAACAUCAACGUCCACUUUGGGUCCUGAGACAUCAAUGUCAGCCUUGGGCAGGUUCACAUCCACAUCUGGGCCCUCUCCUUUGAAGCCAGGCAUGCUGAACUUGGGCAUUUUCACUUUGGGCAUUUUUAGGUGCCAGUCUGGGCCUUGAACGUCCACAUCUGGGACAUCAAUGUCCACUUUGGGGUCCCUGAUGUCAACUUCGGGGCCCUUGAGGUCGCCUUCCACUUUGGGCAGAGAAAUGUCCAUGUCGCCCUUCACCUUUGGACCUUUCAGAUUCAGGUCAACUUCAGGCAUAGAGAUCUUCGGUGCCUUGAGGUGUAAGUCAGGCAUUUUAAAUUUGGGGCCCUUCAGUUUCCCUUCUGGACCAUGAAUGUCAAUAUCAGGAGUGUCAAUGCCCACUUUAGGGCCUUUGACAUCCACUUUGGGACCUUUCAGAUCUCCCUCCAGUUUAGGAACGGAAAUGUCCAUAUCUCCUUUUAUCUUAGGUCCUUUCAAAUUCAAAUCAAUGUCACUCAUGGAGAUUUGUGGGCUUUUGAAAUGUACAUCAGGCAUCUUAAACUUGGGACCUUUGAGCUUCCCUUCAGGACCUUCAAUGUCUACCUCUGGCCCUUUCAGAUCACUUUCCACCUUAGGUAGUGAAACAUCCACAUCACCCUUCACCUUGGGACCUUUCAGGUGCAAAUCAAAGUCAGGCAUAGAGAUUUUGGGAGCUUUGAUGUUCAUCUCAGGCAUCUUAAAUUUGGGCCCCUUCAAUUUUCCUUCCGGACCUUCAAUAUUGACAUCAGGUGUGUCAAUGUCCAAACUGGGGCCUUUUAUGUCAAUUUCAGGGCCCUUGAGAUCACCUUCCACUUUGGGCAGAGAGACAUCCACAUCACCUUUCACUUUGGGACCCUUCAAGUUAAAGUCAAUGUCAGGCAUGGAGAUUUUGGGGGCCUUGAUGUUCAUCUCUGGCAUCUUGAACUUUGGACCCUUGAGUUUUGCAUCUGGACCUUCGAUACUGACAUCAGGGGCAUCAAUGUCCACUUUGGGGCCAGAAAUCUCAAUGUCAGCCUUAGGAAGGGUAACAUCCACAUCUGGGCCCUCUCCUUUGAAUCCUGGCAUGCUGAAUUUGGGCAUUUUCACCUUGGGCAUCUUCAGGUGCCAGUCUGGGCCAUGAACAUCUACAUCAGGGGCAUCGAUGUCCACUUUGGGGCCCUUGAUGUCAACUUCUGGGCCCUUGAGGUCACCUUCCACUUUAGGAAGGGAAACAUCCACAUCACCCUUCACCUUGGGACCUUUCAGAUGCAAAUCAAAGUCAGGCAUGGAGAUCUUGGGGGCUUUGAUGUUCAUCUCAGGCAUCUUGAAUUUAGGGCCCUUUAGUUUCGCAUCUGGACCUUCGAUAUUCACAUCAGGAACAUCAAUGUCCACCUUGGGUCCUGAGACGUCAAGGUCAGCCUUGGGCAGGUUCACAUCCACAUCUGGAACAUCAAUGUCCACCUUGGGUCCUGAGACAUCAAGGUCAGCCUUGGGCAGGUUCACAUCCACAUCUGGGCCCUCUCCUUUGAAGCCAGGCAUGCUGAAUUUGGGCAUUUUCACUUUGGGCAUUUUUAGGUGCCAGUCUGGGCCUUGAACGCCCACAUCCGGGACAUCAAUGUCCACUUGGGGACCCCUGAUGUCAACUUCAGGGCCCUUGAGGUCACCUUCCACUUUGGGCAGAGAAAUAUCCACAUCGCCCUUCACCUUGGGACCUUUCAGAUGCAAAUCAAAGUCAGGCAUGGGGAUCUUGGGGGCUUUGAUAUUCAUCUCUGGCAUCUUGAACUUGGGCCCUUUCAACUUUCCCUCUGGUCCUUCAAUGUUAACAUCAGGGCCUUCAACGUCCACUUUGGGGCCUGAGACAUCAACGUCAGCCUUGGGCAGGUUCACAUCCACUUCAGGGCCCUCUGCUUUGAAGCCAGGCAUGCUGAACUUGGGCAUUUUCAUCUUGGGCAUCUUCAGGUGCCAGUCUGGACCCUGAACAUUAACAUCUGGGACAUCAAUGUCCACUUUGGGGCCUUUGAGGUCAACUUCAGGACCUUUCAGAUCUCCCUCUACCUUAGGGCCUGUAACAUCCACAUCUCCUUUUAUUUUUGGACCUGUGAGAUUCAGGUCAAUAUCUGGCAUGGAUAUCUUUGGAGUCUUAAAAUGCAUCUCUGGCAUCUUAAACUUUGGACUUUUCCACUUUCCUUCAGGUCCUUCGAUAUUCACAUCGGGACAUUCAACAUCCACUUUCGGUCCUGAGACAUCAAUGUCAGCCUUGGGCAGGUUCACGUCCACAUCUGGACCUUCUCCUUUGAAGCCAGGCAUGCUGAUCUUGGGCAUUUUUAUCUUGGGCAUCUUUAGGUGCCAGUCUGGGCCAUGAACAUCAACAUCAGGUGCGUCAAUGUCCACUUUUGGGCCCUUGAUGUCAACUUCUGGGCCCUUGAGGUCACCUUCCACUUUAGGAAGGGAAACAUCCACAUCACCCUUCACUUUGGGUCCUUUCAGGUUUAAGUCAAUAUCAGGCAUGGAGAUCUUGGGGGCUUUGAUAUUCAUCUCUGGCAUCUUGAACUUAGGCCCUUUCAACUUUCCCUCUGGUCCUUCAAUGUUAACAUCAGGGCCUUCAAUGUCCACUUUGGGUCCUGAGACAUCAAUGUCAGCCUUGGGCAGCUUCACAUCCCCAUCUGGGCCCUCUCCUUUGAAGCCAGGCAUGCUGAACUUUGGCAUUUUCACCUUGGGCAUCUUCAGGUGCCAGUCUGGGCCUUGAACACCCACAUCUGGGGCAUUAAUAUCCACUUUGGGCCCCUUGAUGUCAACUUCGGGGCCCUUGAGGUCACCUUCCACUUUGGGCAGAGAAACAUCCACAUCGCCCUUCACCUUGGGACCUUUCAGAUGCAAAUCAAAGUCAGGCAUGGAGAUCUUGGGGGCUUUGAUGUUCAUCUCUGGCAUCUUUAACUUAGGCCCUUUCAACUUUCCCUCUGGUCCUUCAAUAUUAACAUCAGGGCCUUCAAUGUCCACCUUGGGUCCUGAGAUGUCAACGUCAGCCUUAGGCAAGUUGACGUCUACUUCAGGGCCCUCUGCUUUGAAGCCAGGCAUGCUGAACUUGGGCAUUUUCAUCUUGGGCAUCUUCAGGUGCCAGUCUGGAGCUUGGACAUCGGGGGCAUUUACAUCAACUUUGGGGCCCCUGAUGUUCAUAUCUGGUACUUCAAGUUUACCUUCUACCUCAGGCACAGACACAUCCACAUCCCCCUUGAUUUUGGGUCCUUUGAGAUUUAGAUCAACAUCAGGCAUAGAAAUAUUGGGGGCUUUGAAAUGCAUAUCAGGCAUCUUGAACUUAGGGCCUUUCAAUUUGCCCUCUGGUCCCUCAAUGUCAAUGUCUGGCCCACUGACAUCCACAUGUGGCCCUUUAAGGUCCCCUUCCAAUUUGGGAACAUCUACAUCCACCUCUCCUUUUGCCUUGGGGCUCUUCAAGUGUAGAUCGAGGUCUGGCAUAGAGAUUUUGGGAGCUUUAAAGUGCAUAUCUGGCAUCUUGAACUUAGGAGUUUUCCACUUGCCAUUUGGGCCUUCCACAGCUACUUCUGGCAUGUCAGCAUCUAAUUUGGGACCUUUGACAUCCAAUUCUGGACCUUUUAACUCUCCCUCCAGCUUUGGGGCAGAAACAUCAACAUCUCCUUUGAUUUUGGGUCCCUUUAAAUUGAAAUCAACAUCAGGCAUGGAGAUCUUGGGGGUCUUGAAGUGCAUCUCAGGCAUCUUAAACUUGGGGCCCUUCAGCUUCCCUUCUGGACCUUCAAGGCUCACAUCUGGGACUUCAACAUCCACCUUGGGUCCUGAGACAUCAACGUCAGCCUUGGGCAAGUUCACAUCCACUUCUGGGCCCUCUCCUUUGAAGCCAGGCAUGCUGAACUUGGGCAUUUUCAUCUUAGGCAUCUUCAGGUGCCAGUCUGGGCCAUGAACAUCCACAUCUGGGGCAUCAAUGUCCACUUUGGGCCCUCUGAUGUCAACAUCUGGCACUUUCAUUUCACCUUCUACCUUGGGAACAGACACAUCCAUAUCCCCUUUGACUUUGGGGCCUUUCAAGUUUAAGUUCACAUCAGGCAUGGAGAUCUUGGGGGUCUUGAAGUGCAUCUCAGGCAUCUUAAACUUGGGCCCUUUCAACUUUGCAUCAGGACACUCCAGCUCAACAUCAGGCACCUCCACAUCCACACUGGGGCCUGUUAAAUCUCCCUCCAAUUUUGGCAAAGACACAUCCACAUCCCCUUUGACUUUGGGGCCUUUCAAGUGUAAGUCCACAUCAGGCAUGGAGAUCUUGGGGGCCUUGAAGUGCAUCUCAGGCAUCUUAAGCUUGGGGCCCUUCAGCUUCCCUUCUGGACCUUCAAGGCUCACAUCUGGGACUUCAACAUCCACCUUGGGUCCUGAGACAACAACAUCAGCCUUGGGCAAGUUCACAUCCACUUCUGGGCCCUCUGCUUUGAAGCCAGGCAUGCUGAACUUGGGCAUUUUCAUCUUGGGCAUCUUCAGGUGCCAGUCUGGGCCAUGAACAUCCACAUCUGGGGCAUCAAUGUCCAUUUUGGGUCCUUUGAUGUCAACAUCUGGCACUUUCAUUUCACCUUCUACCUUGGGCACAGACACAUCCAUAUCCCCUUUGACUUUGGGGCCUUUCAGGUGUAAGUCCACAUCAGGCAUGGAGAUCUUGGGGGUCUUGAAGUGCAUCUCAGGCAUCUUAAACUUGGGCCCUUUCAACUUUGCAUCAGGACACUCCAGCUCAACAUCAGGCACCUCCACACCCACACUGGGACCUGUUAAAUCUCCCUCCAAUUUUGGCACCGACACAUCCACAUCCCCUUUGACUUUGGGGCCUUUCAAGUGUAAGUCCACAUCAGGCAUGGAGAUCUUGGGGGCCUUGAAGUGCAUGUCUGGCAUCUUAAAUUUAGGGCCUUUCAACUUUGCAUCAGGACACUCCAGCUCAACAUCAGGCACCUCCACACCCACACUGGGGCCUGUUAAAUCUCCCUCCAAUUUUGGCACCGACACAUCCGCAUCCCCUUUGACUUUGGGGCCUUUCAGGUGUAAGUCCACAUCAGGCAUGGAGAUCUUGGGGGCCUUGAAGUGCAUCUCAGGCAUCUUAAACUUGGGCCCUUUCAACUUUGCAUCAGGACACUCCAGAUCAACAUCGGGCACCUCCGCUUCCACAAAAGGACCUUUGACAUCAACUUGCGGCCCUCUGAGAUCACCUUCCAGUUCUGGCACAGAAGCAUCUAUCUCUCCCUUCAGUUUGGGUCCCUUCAAAUUCAAGUCCACAUCUGGCAUGGAGACCUUGGGAGCUUUUAUAUUCAACUUGGGCAUCUUAAAUUUGGAGCCUUUCAACUUUCCUUCUGGUCCCUCAAUAUCCAAAUCAGGAGCAUCAGUGUCCACACUGGGUCCAGACACAUCAAUGUCAGCCUUUGGCAGAUUCACAUCCACUUCAGGGCCCUCUGCUUUGAAGCCAGGCAUACUGAACUUGGGCAUUUUCAUCUUGGGCAUUUUCAGGUGCCAAUCUGGGUCGUGAACCUCCACAUCUGGGGCAUCAAUGUCCACUUUGGGCCCUUUAAUGUCAACAUCUGGCACUUUCAUUUCACCUUCUACCUUGGGCACAGACACAUCCAUAUCCCCUUUGACUUUGGGGCCUUUCAAGUGUAAGUCCACAUCGGGCAUGGAGAUCUUGGGGGCCUUGAAAUGCAUCUCAGGCAUCUUAAACUUGGGGCCCUUCAACUUCCCUUCUGGACCUUCAAUAUCAAUAUCACCAACAUUCACAUCCAUCUUAGGGGCUUUCACAUCAAUUUCAGGACCCUUCAAGUCUCCUUCCACUUUGGGAAGGGAAACAUCUACAUCAGUUUUCAGUUUAGGGGCUUUCAAAUUAAGUCCAACAUCAGGCAUAGAGAUUUUGUGCGUCUGUAUAUUCAUGCUUGGCAUCUUGAACUUAGGGCCUUUUAGUUUCCCCUCUGGAGCUUCAAGAUUCACAUCUGGAACAUCAAUGUCCACCUUGGGUCCUGAAACACCAAGGUCAGCCUUGGGCAGGUUCAUAUCCACCUCUGGGCCCUCUCCUUUAAAGCCAGGCAUGCUGAACUUGGGCAUUUUUACCUUGGGCAUCUUCAGGUGCCAGUCUGGGCCAUGAACCUCCACAUCUGGUGCAUUAAUAUCAACUUUGGGGCCUUUGAUGUCAACAUCAGGAGCUUUUAUCUCUCCUUCUACUUUUGGAACUGUUACAUCAUAAUCUCCUUUCAUUUUAGGACCUUUCAAAUGCAAACCAACAUCUGGUAUGGAUAUCUUCUGAGGCUUUAUACUCAUUUCUGGCAUCUUGAAUUUGGGACCUUUUAGUUUUGCGUCUGGACCUUCAAUAUUCACAUCUGGAACUUCAGCAUCCAUUUUGGGUCCUGAGACAUCAACGUCAGCUUUGGGCAGCUUCACAUCCACUUCAGGGCCCUCUCCUUUGAAGCCGGGCAUGCUGAACUUGGGCAUUUUCACCUUGGGCAUCUUCAGGUGCCAAUCUGGGCCAUGAACAUCCACAUCUGGAGCACUAAUGUCAACUUUGGGCCCUUUAAUGUCAACAUCUGGCACUUUCAUUUCACCUUCUACCUCAGGCAAGGACACAUCCACAUCUCCCUUCAAUUUUGGCCCCUUAAGAUUCAGGUCCACAUCAGGCAUGGAGAUCUUGGGGGCCUUGAAGUGCAUCUCAGGCAUCUUAAACUUGGGGCCCUUCAGCUUUCCUUCCGGGCCCUCAAGGCUCACAUCUGGGACUUCAACAUCCACCUUGGGUCCUGAGACAUCAAUGUCAGCCUUGGGCAGGUUCACAUCCACUUCUCGGCCCUCUCCUUUGAAGCCAGGCAUGCUAAACUUGGGCAUUUUCAUCUUGGGCAUCUUCAGGUGCCAGUCUGGGCCUUGAACCUCCACAUCUGGGGCAUCAAUGUCCAUUUUGGGUCCUUUGAUUUCAACAUCUGGCACUUUCAUUUCACCUUCUACCUUGGGCACAGACACAUCCACAUCCCCUUUGACUUUGGGGCCUUUCAAGUGUAAGUCCACAUCAGGCAUGGAGAUCUUGGGGGUCUUGAAAUGCAUCUCAGGCAUCUUAAACUUGGGACCCUUCAGCUUCCCUUCUGGACCUUCGAGGCUCACAUCUGGGGCUUCGAUGUCCACCUUGGGUCCUGAGACAACAACGUCAGCCUUAGGCAAGUUCACAUCCACUUCUGGGCCCUCGCCUUUGAGGCUGGGCAUGCUGAACUUGGGCAUUUUCAUCUUGGGUAUUUUCAGGCUCCAGUCCAGGCCUUGGCCUUCCACAUCUGGUGCUUUAAUAUCUACCUUGGGACCUCUGAUGUCCACAUCUGGAACCUGCAUUUCAC
This 11792-nucleotide long non-coding RNA is filed under the name Homo sapiens (human). RNAcentral describes it as "long non-coding RNA NONHSAT021751.2". The record is from RNAcentral. Lineage: Eukaryota; Metazoa; Chordata; Mammalia; Primates; Hominidae.